GCACCAGUAGCUCAGCGGUAGAGCACGCGCCUCUUAAGCGCUUGGUCGAAGGUUCGAAUCCCUCCUGGUGCACCA
RNAcentral lists this transfer RNA (75 nucleotides) under Obscuribacter sp. (SeqCode). RNAcentral's name for it is "tRNA-Lys". It matches the Rfam family "tRNA". From Rfam's summary of the family: Transfer RNA (tRNA) molecules are approximately 80 nucleotides in length. Their secondary structure includes four short double-helical elements and three loops (D, anti-codon, and T loops). Further hydrogen bonds mediate the characteristic L-shaped molecular structure. tRNAs have two regions of fundamental functional importance: the anti-codon, which is responsible for specific mRNA codon recognition, and the 3' end, to which the tRNAs corresponding amino acid is attached (by aminoacyl-tRNA synthetases). tRNAs cope with the degeneracy of the genetic code in two manners: having more than one tRNA (with a specific anti-codon) for a particular amino acid; and 'wobble' base-pairing, i.e. permitting non-standard base-pairing at the 3rd anti-codon position. Lineage: Bacteria; Bacillati; Candidatus Melainabacteria; Candidatus Obscuribacterales; Obscuribacteraceae (SeqCode). The record is from RNAcentral.